CAGGGAGGCUGGGCGGACGCGCUGUCGGUCUAACCGGUCAGGUCCGAGAGGAAGCAGCCAGGGUCGGCUUCGCGCGGGUCGUCCAGUCUUCCGCUGAU
Molecule: signal recognition particle RNA, 98 nt
Filed under: SAR116 cluster bacterium MED-G06
Lineage: Bacteria; Pseudomonadati; Pseudomonadota; Alphaproteobacteria; Puniceispirillales (SeqCode)
Description: signal recognition particle sRNA small type
Rfam family: Bacterial small signal recognition particle RNA
About the family: The signal recognition particle (SRP) is a universally conserved ribonucleoprotein involved in the co-translational targeting of proteins to membranes. Archaeal SRP consists of a 7S RNA and homologues of the eukaryotic SRP19 and SRP54 proteins.
Source: RNAcentral